CUUUCAUUAUGUUCUAAACCAAUAACAUUUUUGUAAUCAUCUCUCUUUGCAAACAUAACCGUUUCAGUUCUGUGCAUUUGCUUGCUUUUUAAAAUUUUCCUUCUCUGAAGUAAACUUACUGUCUCUGAACAGAUAUUUUUUGGGUUAGCGUUGCACCCCAAGCAGCUGUUACACUUUCUACUCCUCUUCCUCCUCCUGAUGCUAAGUCUGCUUUUCAAGCAAUUAAAGUCACUCCGAUGUGGGUUCUUAGCCAGCAUCUCCUACCAUGCUGCACAGCCUUUAAGGCAAAUACAGCAGUAUUUAAUUAGAAACAUAACGGAGGAAUUAAACUAGUACUAACAGAAAUGUGUAGAUUUGUUUCAGUAGAAAAAGAGGCUGGUGAAAGCUAACACAGGGAUUAAAAUUACUACUGUAAUGUGUUUUUCUAUUAGUCCCUAUUUCCUUGUGGUUUUUAUUUGUUUUAGUUUGGGUCUGGAUGCUUGGUUGCUUGGAUAUUUUUUUAGUUUUUGGGGAGUGGUGGUGGUGGAUGGGUGUGUUUGGUUUUGGGUUUCUUUUUCUUUUAUUACUACUUUUCUUUCUUUGAUUUGUUUAAACAAGGUUUUUUCCUUUCUUUAUAUUAUAAACCAUAAGCAUUUUGUAAUAGCCUUUCCUUGCAAACAUUGCCAUUACACCUUCUGCUCCUGCUCCUGCUCCUGCUCCUGCUCCUGCUCCUGCUCCUGCUCCUGCUCCUGCUGAAUAUUUUCAGCUUCACUUUGUACCUCAAGGAACCAGGACACCUCAUGGCCCUGCUCCUGAUGCCCACUGGGGAGAGCCUAGACAGCGAACAUACAUGGUGUCUGAAUCCGACACAACCUCUGGUGCGUCACCCUACAGAACCUACACUAUGUCUGGAACGGACACAACCUCUGGUGUGACACCCUACAGAACCUACACUAUGUCUGGAACGGACACAACCUCUGGUGUGACACCCUACAGAACCUACACUGUGUCUGGAACGGACACAACCUCUGAUUCUUUUAAGCUUCCAUUCUUACCCCAUGGAACCAGUACACCUCGUGGUCCUGCUCCAGCUGCACACUGGGGAGCACCUAGACAACGAACGUACGUGGUGUCUGAAUCCGACACAACCUCUGGUGUGACACCCUACAGAACCUACACUAUGUCUGGAACGGACACAACCUCUGGUGUGACACCCUACAGAACCUACACUAUGUCUGGAAUGGACACAACCUCUGGUGUGACACCCUACAGAACCUACACUGUGUCUGGAACGGACACAACCUCUGAUUCUUUUUGGCUUCCAUUCUUACCCCAUGGAACCAGUACACCUCGUGGUCCUGCUCCAGCUGCACACUGGGGAGCACCUAGACAACGAACGUACGUGGUGUCUGAAUCCGACACAACCUCUAGUGUGACACCCUACAGAAUUUAUAGCAUCUCUGAAACCAACAUACCCCACUGUGUGGUACCUAGCAGAAUCUACAGUUUGUCUGAAACCAACAUACCCUCCAGUGUGACACCAGGCAGUACAGGUGUUGGGUCAUCAAUGGACAUAUCCUCCCAUGUGAUACCCGGCAGACCUUACCGUGUGUCUUCAGCCAACACAUCCAAUGUGACACCCAGCAGAAGAGGCAUUGGGUCAUCACUGGAUACAUUCAUCAACCUAAUACCAACCACAACCGAUACUGGGUCAUCAAUGGAUGGGGUCAUCAAUGGAUGCAUCCUCACGCAUGACACAAAAUAGAACUUUUACCGUGUCUUCAGUCAACAUGCCCUCCAGUUUUACAGAGAACAGAACUGGUACUGGGUCUUCAGUCAACACAUCCUUCCAUUUCUGACCACACAGAACCAGUUCUUUGCCUUCAGUCAGAUCUUCCAGCCAGGAUGUCUCAUCCAGCACCAGGAGAAAUCAGGGAAUUUAAUUAUUGGAGUCCUGGUCAUGUCCGUUUUCAUAACCAAUAUCAUACCUUCUCUUCAAAUGGGAAAAACUCCAACAAUGUAGAAAGAGCUAAUUAAAGUACAGUUGUACCUACCUUUUGUUGUAGUUUAUUGUACGUGAUUUUUUUGUCCAUAAUUUCACAUUUUUAGAAAAUGUGCAUUCAUAUCUUCACAUUUCUGUGUUUCUAAUUUGUAUUAUACCAAAACACUUUUUAUUGCAGCUGUUAAUUUUUAUGUAGUGUACUAAAAUAUCAUAAAACAACAUCUUUAG
Long non-coding RNA from Cyanistes caeruleus (blue tit), 2209 nucleotides. Ensembl annotates it as mucin-3A-like. The record is from Ensembl. NCBI's taxonomy places the organism in Eukaryota, Metazoa, Chordata, Aves, Passeriformes, Paridae.